Molecule: long non-coding RNA, 376 nt
Organism: Lytechinus pictus (painted urchin)
Lineage: Eukaryota; Metazoa; Echinodermata; Echinoidea; Temnopleuroida; Toxopneustidae
Exons: 3
Source: RefSeq, a predicted model, not a curated record
UGUAAAAUUGGUUGAUGUUUUCGCCGCGACGAUUCGAAGUGAAACGAAGAAAUAAGUAGAAGCGAAGGUCCCCGAAGAGGUGAAUGAGGAUUUUACCACUAUGGACAUUUUAACAAUAUGCAGAAGGAGACGGGUCUGGAACUAGAAAGCUAGGCUCUGACUGGUCUACUACAGCAAGGAAUGUGCCAGCGGCCAAUCUGAUGAACAUGUGGCAGAAGAUUUGGCAGUGGGUGAAGAAAUACUGAGAUUGAAAUGCAACUACAGGUGGAGGCUUCACCCAAACUUUUCAGACAGACAUGAGAUGCAAAGUUACCCAAGUAUAAAUGGUUGAAGGUUUAGGAGAGCCAGACAAGAAGGCAUGAAAUGUGAUGUCACU